UCUGACCAGCGACGCCGCGUGCAUGAAGAAGGUCUUCGGAUUGUAAACUGCUGUGGUUAGGGAAAAAUGUGCUGUUUAGUGAAAAGCUACAUGGAGGACUGUACCCUUACAAAAAACCCCCGCUAACCUCCGGCCCCCCCCCCCGGGAAAA
This 151-nucleotide ribosomal RNA is filed under the name uncultured bacterium. RNAcentral's name for it is "partial 16S ribosomal RNA". The record is from RNAcentral.